RNAcentral lists this ribosomal RNA (261 nucleotides) under uncultured prokaryote. RNAcentral's name for it is "partial 16S ribosomal RNA". It matches the Rfam family "Bacterial small subunit ribosomal RNA", at positions 524 to 784 of the family's 1533-position model. The record is from RNAcentral.
UACGUAGGGGCAAGCGUUGUCCGGAAUUACUGGGCGUAAAGAGCUCGUAGGUGGUUUGUCGCGUCGUCUGUGAAAUUCCGGGGCUUAACUUCGGGCGUGCAGGCGAUACGGGCAAUACUUGAGUGCUGUAGGGGAGACUGGAAUUCCUGGUGUAGCGGUGAAAUGCGCAGAUAUCAGGAGGAACACCAAUGGCGAAGGCAGGUCUCUGGGCAGUUACUGACGCUGAGGAGCGAAAGCAUGGGGAGCGAACAGGAUUAGAUA